GACGAACGCUGGCGGCGUGCUUAACACAUGCAAGUCGAACGGUGAACGAGGGAGCUUGCUCCCUCCGGGUCAGUGGCUGACGGGUGAGUAACACGUACGCAAUCUGCUCCGAACUCUGGGAUAAGCGUUGGAAACGACGUCUAAUACCGGAUACGACGCGGUAGGGCAUCCUCCCCGCGUGGAUCGGACUUCGGGUCGGGGUGAGAUCGCGGCCUAGCAGCUUGUUUGUGAGGGGACGGCUCCCCCAGGCGACGACGGGUAUCCCGCCUGAGAGGGUGACCGGCCACACUGGGACUGAGAGACGGCCCAGACUCCUACGGGAGGCAGCAGUGGGGAAUAUUGCACAAUGGGCGCAAGCCUGAGGCAGCAACGCCGCGUGAGGGACGACGGCCUUCGGGUUGUAAACCUCUUUUAGCAGGGAAGAAGCGAAAGUGACGGUACCUGCAGAAAAAGCACCGGCUAACUACGUG
This 470-nucleotide ribosomal RNA is filed under the name uncultured bacterium. RNAcentral's name for it is "partial 16S ribosomal RNA". It matches the Rfam family "Bacterial small subunit ribosomal RNA", at positions 28 to 507 of the family's 1533-position model. The record is from RNAcentral.